GGCAUUGUCUCUUGGAAGUACUCGAUUUGUCGCAAUAUAUUGUUGGUAUCUAUGACGCACAUUUUAGACUUUUCUUUUGAGGGCUAUUCUUGGUUGUACACUACAUUUGUGUUUUCUUGCUUGUUUAGGGCUGAGAGGCAUUUUGGAAGGAUGGAAAAUGGGUCGUUUGUAGUAAUCCUUCUCUUUUAUUUCAAAUUAAUAGAGCAACAGUUCUAUAUGAUCAGCCUCCCAAGUUUUUCCGUCCCACUUCACUCGAAGAAUAGCAUAAGUUGUUUUGCAGAUUAAAUAAAAUCUGAGGCAGCCACUUGGCAUUGAAGAUUGCACAAGCACUGGAGUUAUAGCUUAGGAGCAUCUGGUCAUUCUUGUCACUUGUAGAAGAGGUAUCAAAUCUUUGACAGCUCUAAGUUCAUCUUUUAUAUUAAUAUAAUAUUGUUGUGUAUUUUAUGUUACUUUAACUCAUUAUUUAUGAGCUCCAUUUGACUAACGACAGGUGCAUGUUGGUCUAUGUUGAAGUUGAUCAAUCUAGGUUUGGAAUGAGUUGUAGAGUUUUGAAACAGAGGAAAGUAUUUCAUUAACUCUGUUACUUGCAAUUUAUCAUCUUAUUUUCCAAUUUACAUUUUAUGAGUACAGUCAUUCCUCAGAGUUGUUGAACAUAUGAGAAAAAUUAAUAAUACUAGGGGUAAUUCCAUCCAACCCUAAUUUCAAUACAUUUUAUCCAGCAUAUUAAAGCAUGAGGACUGUAAAUAUGGUAUUGUGGAUUUUAUCUGCUGUGAUGUUCAAGGAAUGUAGCUGAGGAUCUAGAUUUGUAAAUUUUCCUUGGUAAAUUUUCCUUACCAAGAAUUAACAUGCAUCUUUCACAACUACUCUAUUUGUAAAUUCCAGAUCUUGAAAAUUGAUAAUCCUAGAUGAAUAUCACUUUUUAAUUUGAGUAGUUGAAAAUGCAUAGCACGCUGCUUAUCGCACUUGUUUAUUUAAGUUUUUUCUGUUGUUAGUUUGGUAAAUUGCUUGUGCUUUGAUAUCAUAUCUCAAAGGGUAUUUGUAUGUUAUCUCAGCUGUUAAUUCUAUGCGUGUUUCAUCUCAACUGAAGAUCAAAUGCUUUGUAGGUAUGGACCAAUCUAGAUAUGCACAAGACUAGUAUUUGUAGCAGCAGCUGUUGGCACCUUCAGGACUUAUGAAGGUCAAGAAUUGAGUGGGGAGAUGACAUUAAUAUGGUGCAAUGGUCUGCUAGGUUCUAUGGUUACACUAAUAUUGUUCCUCUUGUGCUGUAUGUAAUAUACUUCUUGGCACCAGUUGGUCUGUUCAACUGUAGCUGUAUCACUACUUGUUUUUCUUUCUACCAACUUUGGUUAGCAUUUGGUGAUUCAUUUUCAAUUGAUAUAAUUAUGUAUAAUAACAAUUUAGACCAUUAAAAGUAGUAUAGUAGGCUUGGAUGUUA
Molecule: long non-coding RNA, 1435 nt
Organism: Argentina anserina (silverweed cinquefoil)
Lineage: Eukaryota; Viridiplantae; Streptophyta; Magnoliopsida; Rosales; Rosaceae
Exons: 3
Source: RefSeq, a predicted model, not a curated record